This 70-nucleotide transfer RNA is filed under the name Urocitellus parryii (Arctic ground squirrel). RNAcentral's name for it is "Spermophilus parryii (Arctic ground squirrel) tRNA". It matches the Rfam family "tRNA". Rfam says of the family: Transfer RNA (tRNA) molecules are approximately 80 nucleotides in length. Their secondary structure includes four short double-helical elements and three loops (D, anti-codon, and T loops). RNAcentral also lists the same sequence under 1 other name. Lineage: Eukaryota; Metazoa; Chordata; Mammalia; Rodentia; Sciuridae. The record is from Rfam by way of RNAcentral.
GGGGAUAUAGCUCAGUUGGUAGAGUGCUUUCCUCACAUGCAUGAGGCCCUGGGUUCAAUACCCAGCACCA